GUUCUCAUCAGAUAUCUUUAAUUGUUUUAGGAUGAAUUAAGAUCAUGUUAAAUUAUUCAUCAGACUGCACAUGACAACCCCUUUUUGCAGGAAAAAACUGCUGCGAGAGGAAAACAAACUUCUGGAGGACAACAUAGCUAGGAUCAAGAAAAUGGAACAGUGAAUGAGAUGUCACCACCCCACAUCAUUUAUGGACAACAGAGAGUGACCCUCAAUUUUCUCUAGUGAUUAUGGUUUGUAUCUGUCAAAUAGCCUUGCAGAGGCACCAGGAGAAUAACCUGCAAAGGUUAUGUGGUUCCUGUGUUUAGUAUCAUGUUGUACAUGAAUUUACCAAAGUCAAGGUGUCUUCAGAAAUAAUUAACAAUAUUGUGCAGUUUCAGUAAAAUUUAUUGUUCAUCUGUGUGACCAUGUAAUUUAAAAGGUGAGAUGAGCUUUGGCCCCUCGGGUUAGUGUUUUAUAUAUUCAGUGUUUUCGUUGC
Lycium ferocissimum is the source of this 478-nucleotide long non-coding RNA. RefSeq lists it as uncharacterized. The record is from RefSeq and is a predicted model, not a curated record. Lineage: Eukaryota; Viridiplantae; Streptophyta; Magnoliopsida; Solanales; Solanaceae. The transcript is spliced from 2 exons.